Larimichthys crocea (large yellow croaker) is the source of this 953-nucleotide long non-coding RNA. RefSeq lists it as uncharacterized. The record is from RefSeq and is a predicted model, not a curated record. The transcript is spliced from 3 exons. Lineage: Eukaryota; Metazoa; Chordata; Actinopteri; Sciaenidae.
CGCAGUCAUGUUUGGACUGAGAACCAAGUGUCAAAUAACAACAAAAUUCUCACCUUUUUUUUUUUAUGUUUGGGAGAGAGGCGAGGUACCCGUCUGAAAUUCCAGAGGAAUACAGAGUGAGUUGCACUUUGUACUUUGAGUAAACAGACACACUUAGAAAUAGUCAUAAUGUAAUAAUAAUGUCACAAUAGCCGUAAUGUAACAUUAGAAUCAUAUAUGUAUUAGUGUUUUAAUUUAAUUGUGAUAUAAUUUCAAAGGUGGACCGUAGUGUUGAAGAGAACCUGUCUGUUGAGGAGCUUACAGAGGACGUUCUCAAAUUAGAUAGUGCUCUCCAGAGGGCUAUUACCAACAUCGCGGCCAAACCUCACAAAAAAAAGGAACAAAACCUGCUACGGACUUUCAGGUGGGAAUGAAGGUUAUGAGGCAGAAUGUGCGAAGCCAACAGAGGAAAGGUGGUAAAUUGGACCCCACUUACCUUGGGCCCUAUACAAUUUUGGCCAUUGUCACUGCCAUGCUUUAUUCCACCAUCAAAAGUGGUUGGAACCAUUAAGAAACUGUUCAUACUUUAGUUCUAUCAAAACUGUAAUGACUUUGAUGCAGUCGACAUUUUGAAUGUUUACUUUAUCAGAGGACUGUAAAGGAUUGGUUGGACCAAUUUAUACUGCAUAUGUAGAAAAUAUGUAUUUUUAUUUUAGAUGAUUUAUGAGACACAUGAGGCUCAGUCCUUCCAGAUGGGCAUGUGACACGAUGACUCACCCAAUUCAACAGGAUGUAACAUCCUGUGGGGCCUAUGCAUUGAAGUUUGCAGAGUGCAUCAUGGGUGGAUUCCCUUUGGAGUUUGACAAUUCCACAUCUGGUGUAAACACCAUAGGAGAGCACAUUGCUGUCUCUCUUCUUGAGAAUACAGAUGACUUGAGUGACCUGUGCCAUUUCUGUGGGGAGCAGCAAGGGGA